ACGGAUUUGAGUACUUUCGUUCAGUGGCCAAGACAAAUUAAGGAAAAAGACCAUGGUUGGACCAUGGAAACUUGUGAUAUGUGAUUUCCGUAUAAGACCAUAGUUGGGCUAUGGCAUCAGUGUGAUGUGAUUAUGUGCUUUCGUAUAAGACUAUAUUUGAGAUAUGGCAUCAGUGUGAUAUGUGCUUCUGUGUAAGACCAUAUCUGGGAUAGCAUCAGUGUGGUAUGUGAUCUGUGUAAGACCAUGGCUGGGCUAUGGCUUCGGUGUGUGAUAUGUGACUAUGUACAAGACCAUAGUUUUAUUAUGGCUGUAGUGGGCCAAAUUUGCCCGGUCCAAACAAACACAAAAGACCAAAACAAAAUAUAAAAUAAAUCAAUAAACAAAAAGUUUAAAACACAAACAGCCCAAUUACAUGACCCUAUAACUAAUACCCUAGCCCAGUUAUAAAACAACCCAAAGCUCUAAGACCCAAACGGCCCGAAAGCCAAGCCAAACUUCGGCAAACCCUAGGGCAGAAGGGUCCUUUCGCCGCAGCCUUCACGAGCAGCAACCACAUCGCCUCCGUACGCCCCAGUCUCCAGCAACCACGCUAACACAGCCCCGUACGCCUCACGCCAAGGGCCAACGCACGUCCGUACUCUACCUGCAAAAAGGACAAACCACACGGCAGCAAACACAAACAAAAAUAGCAGAACAGCAAUUGAAAAAGGGCGUUUUUCAUUUAUUUUUCUUUUUUUUUCUUUUCUUCGGCUAUAAAAAGCCAAGCUUUUGAUCCUUGUAAGGGUUACGAACGCCUACACAUUUUUACACAAGAUAUACGAGCAAUACAAAAAAGCAACCAAUAUCGGAAGGUGAUUUUCCGAUCUAAAUCUCCGGGCUUUCUUUCUUGUGAUUAUUCUCUUGCUUUUUUUUUAUUUUACUUUGAAAGCAAAUAAAGUAAAGAGGAAAGGAUCUACCUGCGCAUAUGAGCCAUUGGAGACCAUCUCUUCUUCGUUGAGAUCGAAGCUUAAGAGAGGUUUUCGGGCUAAAAAUCUUACCUUUUGGAGCGGGGUCUAAAGUAGGAAAAUGAAACGACUUCAUGGCGAGCUAUCUUCCAUCGGUUUCAAUGGUGGAAUGUGGUAGUCAAAUGGUCGAACAGAGGGUUAAGGAAGCAUUGAAAUCGGCUGUGUUGAGAACCUAAUAAUUGGGUUCUCUGCUUAUGGCUAAAAGCCAUUCAAUGGCCUUUAAUUUUAGGAAUUAGACGAAACGGCGCCGUUUGGGAUAUUGAAGGUCGGCGCGUCAACCCGGAUAGCAACCCGGAUCUGCGCCUUUUUAUUCGGAAUGGGAAAUUUGCGCGCUGGGUCCUCUGUAUUCGCGCGAGCCUUCGAUUGCGCCUUAUGCGCCUUGCUUUUUUUAUUAUUUAGGCUUAUAAUUUAUGCUUUGUUGCAAUCUGAUCCGCGCCUAAACGCAUCAUUUUGGGUUCUGGUAUAUUUCCAGUUUUAGUCCCUUGCAUUCGCGAGCGCGUCAAAACUUAGUCCUUUUCCUAAUUUCAGCAACUGAUUUUAUUUAUUAAUGAUCCUUUUAGUCUCAUUUUUGUUUCAAUUGAGUUUUUUUUUGUUAUUUUCAGCAUUUUUAUUCUUUGAAACCCUUCUAUUUUUG
Molecule: long non-coding RNA, 1638 nt
Filed under: Gossypium barbadense (sea-island cotton)
Lineage: Eukaryota; Viridiplantae; Streptophyta; Magnoliopsida; Malvales; Malvaceae
Description: long non-coding RNA (GBAR_LNC008371)
Source: RNAcentral